This 460-nucleotide ribosomal RNA is filed under the name uncultured Leptospirillum sp. RNAcentral describes it as "bacterial SSU rRNA". It matches the Rfam family "Bacterial small subunit ribosomal RNA", at positions 434 to 890 of the family's 1533-position model. The record is from RNAcentral. Lineage: Bacteria; Pseudomonadati; Nitrospirota; Nitrospiria; Nitrospirales; Nitrospiraceae.
UGCCCGGGACNAAAGGGGGGACCUGAAUAAGGUUGCCCGAUGACGGUACCGGGAGAAUAAGCCACGGCUAACUCUGUGCCAGCAGCCGCGGUAAGACAGAGGUGGCAAGCGUUGUUCGGAGUUACUGGGCGUAAAGAGUCUGUAGGUGGUCUGUCAAGUCUUUGGUGAAAGGCCGUGGCUUAACCAUGGGAAUGCCAAAGAGACUGGCAGACUGGAGGCUGGGAGAGGGAAGCGGAAUUUCUGGUGUAGCGGUGAAAUGCGUAGAUAUCAGAAGGAAGGCCGGUGGCGAAGGCGGCUUCCUGGAACAGACCUGACACUGAGAGACGAAAGCGUGGGGAGCAAACAGGAUUAGAUACCCUGGUAGUCCACGCCCUAAACGAUGGGUACUAAGUGUGGGAGGGUUAAACCUCCCGUGCCGCAGCCAACGCAGUAAGUACCCCGCCUGGGGAGUACGGCCGCA